Molecule: ribosomal RNA, 253 nt
Filed under: uncultured bacterium
Lineage: Bacteria
Description: partial 16S ribosomal RNA
Rfam family: Bacterial small subunit ribosomal RNA
Source: RNAcentral
UACGUAGGGUCCGAGCGUUGUUCGGAAUUACUGGGCGUAAAGGGCGCGUAGGCGGCCUCUUUAGUCAGACGUGAAAUCCCCCGGCUUAACCUGGGAACUGCGUCUGAUACUGGGAGGCUAGAGUUCGGGAGAGGGAUGUAGAAUUCCAGGUGUAGCGGUGAAAUGCGUAGAUAUCUGGAGGAAUACCGGUGGCGAAGGCGGCAUCCUGGACCGAAACUGACGCUGAGGCGCGAAAGCUAGGGGAGCAAACGGG